UUUCGUUUAAAAAAAACUAAUAUAAAAUCUAUUUUACUAUUAAUUAUCCAAUAUAUAAUAGUAGUCCAUUACCAAUACAAAGACAAUACCACCUACAUUUCUCAAGAAGAGUAGCAUAAGAACUUUUCAUAACUCAAAUGUCAUAAUACAAAGACACCACUUCAUAAAUACAUGUCAUGGUAUCUACACAUGAAAACAAAAGAAUCACAAGAUAUCUUCAAACUCCUCCUUGCCAACCAUUCCCAUUAUAAACAACGUUGUCCCUGAAAUUGAAAAAAAAAAAAAUGAAUGAAAGCAAGGCUUCAUGUCGAUAACAUCAUAUUAUGCAUGAAAGGGUUUGAGAAAAAUCUAGUAUCAUCUUGAAAGAUGGCAGAAAUUGAAGUGCUACAUAUCAUGAGUGCGAGAAAUUCUAUUUUUUCAGUGUAUUCACCAUUCAAUAAGAACUUUUUUACUCACUGCAUGGGAAAAUUGUCACUAAUCUUCUCCAUAUGUACAAACAAUUUUCAAUAGAUGGCCUUUUGAUUUUACUUAUUCUCUCUAUGAAUUUAAACAAUUAAGUACUUAAUAAGGCAGUCGAUACCUUAAGUAGCUCAAACAUUCUAAAUAUAAGCACUAACGCCUUACCUCUAUGAUGAAUAUGUCCAAAAGAGAUGAGUUUUUCCAAGUGCCAUUGCAAACUUACAAAAAAUUCAAUCACCUUGAAUAACAUAGAAAUUGAGACUUUCUAGAGGGUGCAGAACAAAGAAAAGGGUAAUGAAGUUCAUAAUAGCACCUAAAAUGAUUACAAUUCAAUUUUAGAGGGGUAUGCUUGCUGUACAAAAAAAGUCUUUUAACAAAGUUGUCAAUAUAUGUAUCUAUUCAACAUCAACAAAGCAAAUAUACAAUAAAUAUAUGUAGUAAAUUUCAUAAGCAAUAGAAAAAAAGUCACAGAAACUUACCACACUAGCAGUAGGAUGAUCAGAUGAAACAGUCUUAUGGCAUGUAGCAACUCAAAGAUUGACUUUCUUUUACUGAUUAAUCAAAGUUCACCUCUACUAUUCUCAAAUUAACACAACUCUUCAUGUCUAAGCUACAAUUAAUAAGAUCAAAUUACUCAAAUGAUUUGCAUCCGUGGAAAUUCAGCUACUCUGCAUCAAAAACUUAUUGAUGAAACCAACUAAUGAAUGGUUUAAAAGUAAUUUACACAAAAUCCUCUAAAUUCAUAAAAGAACGGAAAGAGACAGGAGACGUACCGAUUCCCUGAGAGGCAAAACUAGAGCAUAAGAGAUACAGAUUUCUGGGGAAGAGAGCAGGAUAGCCGUGAAGAAGUGGGUACAAUACCGACGAUUACAGUCGUUGGUCGACGGCUAUGAACUAGAUCUAUGAAGAAGAGGGGCCGUAGGCGCUAGGAUUUUGUUCUUCAUGGGAAACACUAAAGUAAAGAAAGAGAAUUAAAAAGAAAAUGAAUCUAAAGAAGGGUUUCUUACUUUCUCAAUUUUUAUUUUCUUAAUUUUAGAGGUUUGAUUUAGCAAUAAUAAAAAUAUCGCCGCAGGAGCGCUACUAAUUGGGGCGACAUAGUCGCCUCUAAAAUACCUCUAGUGGCAACUCCACACUAAUCGCCUCAAAAAACGUUUGAGCCAAGAAUAUUUUCGGAGGGAAAGAAAAAAUGAGGUUUAUUUGUGGAGAUAUAUUUUUAGUCGCCACUAAAACACAACUUUAGUGGUGGAUAAAAAGGUCGCCACUAAUUUCAAUUUUGCGACAAGUUUUGAUGUCGCCACUAAAAGUUGCCACAUAAAACCUAAUUUCUUAUAGUGCCUCAAUACCA
Molecule: long non-coding RNA, 1804 nt
Filed under: Nicotiana tabacum (common tobacco)
Lineage: Eukaryota; Viridiplantae; Streptophyta; Magnoliopsida; Solanales; Solanaceae
Description: long non-coding RNA (NTAB_LNC008806)
Source: RNAcentral